RNAcentral lists this small RNA (1197 nucleotides) under uncultured Sinobacteraceae bacterium. Its description in RNAcentral is "bacterial SSU rRNA". The stretch from base 1 to 488 matches the Rfam family "Bacterial small subunit ribosomal RNA", at positions 1045 to 1533 of the family's 1533-position model. Lineage: Bacteria; Pseudomonadati; Pseudomonadota; Gammaproteobacteria; Nevskiales; Nevskiaceae. The record is from RNAcentral.
AUGGCUGUCGUCAGCUCGUGUCGUGAGAUGUUGGGUUAAGUCCCGCAACGAGCGCAACCCUUGUCCUUAGUUGCCAUCAUUAAGUUGGGAACUCUAAGGAGACCGCCGGUGACAAACCGGAGGAAGGUGGGGAUGACGUCAAGUCAUCAUGGCCUUUAUGACCAGGGCUACACACGUGCUACAAUGGUAGGUACAGAGGGAAGCCAACGCGCGAGCGGGAGCCAAUCCCAGAAAACCUAUCGUAGUCCGGAUCGGAGUCUGCAACUCGACUCCGUGAAGUCGGAAUCGCUAGUAAUCGCAGAUCAGCAUUGCUGCGGUGAAUACGUUCCCGGGUCUUGUACACACCGCCCGUCACACCAUGGGAGUUGAUUGCACCAGAAGCAGGUAGCCUGACCGCAAGGAGGGCGCCUACCACGGUGUGGUCAAUGACUGGGGUGAAGUCGUAACAAGGUAGCCGUAUCGGAAGGUGCGGCUGGAUCACCUCCUUUCAAGAAACGACAGUCGCAACUCGAUGUUGCAAGACGUCCACACAAGACACCUGAUAUUUCACGACAUCGUUUGACGCGAGUUUUUUUUGCGUCGAAUGAAGAUCAAGACCGACCAUGCGUGGCCGGACUCUUCAUCAACAGCCGCUUUGAACAGGGUUCCAGGUUGUCUGGCGUAGGUUCUGGGGUUCGAUCUCACUGGGUCUGUAGCUCAGGUGGUUAGAGCGCACCCCUGAUAAGGGUGAGGCCGGUGGUUCGAGUCCACCCAGACCCACCAUUAUUCCAAGAAUGCCUUGGGGCCUUAGCUCAGCUGGGAGAGCACCUGCUUUGCAAGCAGGGGGUCGUCGGUUCGAUCCCGACAGGCUCCACCACUUUGGAACGGUCGGUUCGUGAAAUAAACAGCACACCCAAGAUUUUUUGAAAUCAUCCGGCAUUGAGGCCGGUGUGAUGUUCUUUGAAAAUUUGUAAACGAGUGACAAGCGCCUUGGUUCGAACCGAACCGAGACAAGUGUUAAGGCACGAAAACGAAGUAUUUGGCUUCCUCAGUAAUGAGGAUGCCCCGAGGCGACUUGGGGUUAUAUGGUCAAGCGACUAAGCGUAUACGGUGGAUGCCUUGGCAGUCAGAGGCGAUGAAGGACGUGGCAGCCUGCGAAAAGUGUCGGGGAGCUGGCAACAAGCUUUGAUCCGGCAAUGUCCGAAUGGGGAAACCCGG